This is a non-coding RNA of Tricholoma furcatifolium, 96 nucleotides long. Lineage: Eukaryota; Fungi; Basidiomycota; Agaricomycetes; Agaricales; Tricholomataceae. The record is from the annotation of a GenBank genome assembly.
GGGCACAUGGUGUAGCUGGUUAUCACGCCCGCUUAGCAUGCAACUCUCCAGCUUCCGUCCUGCGGGCGGCCCCCGGUUCAAGUCUGGGUGUGUCCA